UAGGGAAUUUUCCACAAUGGACGAAAGUCUGAUGGAGCGACACAGCGUGCAGGAUGAAGGCCUUCGGGUUGUAAACUGCUGUUAUAAGGGAAGAAAAAACAAUAGAGGAAAUGCUAUUGUCUUGACGGUACCUUGUCAGAAAGCAACGGCUAACUAUGUGCCAGCAGCCGCGGUAAUACAUAGGUUGCAAGCGUUAUCCGGAAUUAUUGGGCGUAAAGCGUCUGUAGGUUGUAUGUUAAGUCUGGCGUGAAAACUUGGGGCUCAACCCCAAAUUGCGUUGGAUACUGGCAUACUAGAAUUGUGUAGAGGUUAGCGGAAUUCCUAGUGAAGCGGUGAAAUGCGUAGAUAUUAGGAAGAACAUCAACAUGGCGAAGGCAGCUAACUGGGCACAUAUUGACACUGAGAGACGAAAGCGUGGGGAGCAAACAG
Molecule: ribosomal RNA, 429 nt
Filed under: uncultured bacterium
Lineage: Bacteria
Description: bacterial SSU rRNA
Rfam family: Bacterial small subunit ribosomal RNA
Source: RNAcentral